UUUUUUAUUCAUUCUACCACUCUAUCUUUUGACAUCAGAGGUUAGUCCAUUUACUUUUAAAGCACUUAUUAAUAAGUAUGUACUUACUGCCAUUUUGUUCAUUGUUUUCUGGCUGUUCUUAAGUUACUUUGUUACUUCUCUUGCUCUCUUCCAUUGUGAUUUGAUGAUUUUCGAUAGUUGUAUGCUUAGGUUCCUUUCUCCUUCUCUUGUGUGUAUCUACUGUAAAUUUUUAAUUUGUGGUUACCAUGAGGCUUACAUAAAACAACUUAUAUUUACUGUAGUCUUCUUUAAGUUGAUAACAACUUAAGUUUGAAUGCAUUCCAAAGCAUUACACUUUUACUCUCCACCCUCAUGUUUUACGUUUUUGAUGUCCAUUUUAUAACUUUUAAUCUUGUGUAUCCCUUAAUUAUUGCCGUUAGUUAUUUUUACUAUUUUGCCUUAUAACCUUUAUGUUAGCUUUAUAGGUGAUUAAUUCCACCACCAUUACAACACUAGAUUAUUCCAAAUUGUACUAUAUAUUUACCUUUACCAGUGAGAUUUGUACUUUGCUAAGUUUUCUAAUUACUGCUUAGCACCUUUUUCUACUGAAAGGAGUCGCUAACAUUUCUUGUAAGGCUGGUUUAGUGGUGAUAAGCUCCUUUAGCUUUUGCUUAUUAGGAAAACUUUUUCUUUCCUUCAGUUCUGAAUGACAACUUUUCCAAUAAAAAUACUCUUUGAAGCCUUUUCUUUCAGCAGUUUGAAUUUAUCAUGCCAAUCCCUUCCGGCCUGCAAAGUUUCUGUGGAAAAUCUGCUGAUAGUUUUAUGGAUAUUCUGUUGCAUUUAUAAAGUUGUUUUUUUCAUGCUGCUCUCAAGUUUUUCUCCUUGUUUUUAACUUUUGACAUUUUAGUUGUAAUGUGUCUUUGUUGUGGACGUCUUUGGGUUCUUCUUUUCUGGAUGCCUUUGGGCUUCCUGGAUAUGGAUGAAGGUUUUAGCCAUUCAACUUCACAUAAGUUCUUCGUUCUUUUCUCUCUUGCUUCUCUUUCUAGGACUCCUAUAAUGCAAAUGUUGGUCUGUGUUAGUCUGUAUGAUAUCUCAUAAAUCCCGUCAGAUAUCUUUUUUACCUUUUUGCUGUUUUGAUUGGUGAGUCCCAUUGCUCUGUCUCUGACUUCACUGAUCCUUUCUUCUGCUUCUCCUAGUGCACUCUAGAACCCUUCUAGUGUAUUUUUUAGUUCAGUUAGUUUAUUCUUCAGCUCUGUGACUUCUACUGUCACUUUCUUGUAUUUUUACUUUUUAUUCUUUCUUGAGGUCCUCACUGUGUUCAUCCAUUCCUCUCCCAAGUUCGGUGAGCAUUAUUAUGACUGUUAUUUUGAACCCUUCAUCAGGUAAAUCCCUUACUGCAUUAAGGUUUUAUCCUGGGGUUUUAAUAAUUUGGAACAUAUUCCUCUGUUUCUUCAUUUUCCUUGACUCUCUGUGUUGGCUUCUGUGUAUCAGAUAGAAUAGCCACCUCUCCCAGUCUUGAAGGGUGGCCUCAUGUAGGAGAUGAAACUUACUGUUUGACUCUGCCCUAGCUCUUGAUUAUCUAACUAUUACAACUGUCCAAGGAACCUAUUUUAUUUUCAGUGGUUCUCAGUAGCUGAGGGUGUGCUAAGAUCUAUUGGUGUCCUGAAGGGAUGAAUCUGAGUACCAGAGUCUCCUACCUAAUUUUGCAGGACUACAGAUGUAAGUCUUGAUGGCUAACAGAGCCAGGCCAUCAGGAACUGUUCCCUGGGUGGAAGUUACAAAAAUCGGGCCUCUAGGUGAGUAUAAAGGCUCCUUUCUGGGUGAUGCUGAUGACCUGGAGUGAGGCGGAGAAACAGCCCAAAGACAGUGAGCACCAACUUAUGUUCCCUAAGAGCACAUUGUAGGCCUCUAGAUAUGUACCAAACCUGAAGCUUGCCCCUCAGGCCAAAGCUCCAGGACAAGAAAGUAGGCCUCUUACACAGAAAUACUAAGGAUGUGUUUCAGUCUGCUAUCUGUGUAGUACUCUGUGGAUGGUAGCAGGCUAGGAGCUGUAUCUUUGAAUGCUUUGGGUGGGCAGUUGAGUCUGAGCUCAUGACCUGUUCUGUUUCUCACUUUGAUAUAGCCUUAUGGGUCUUCAUGGACACAAGCUCUAUUGGCUUUCAAAGCUAGUUGUUUUGGGGGCUCAUUUCUCAGGUGGUCUUUAAGGUUGGGGUACUGAUGUGGGGGUCAAUUUUUUGCUCCUUAAGGAGAAGUCUCCUGAUGGUGGGCUGCCAUGUUGGUGGUGGGGUUUAUGGUUAGACUGUGUCCCAGUCUCUCCUACCCUCUUCAAUGCAGGCCUUCUCUCAUUUGCCAGAUGAAUAGGAGUCACUCAGCUAAUUUGUUUUUUCUUUCUUUCUUUCUAGAGGUAAUUUUUCCAUAUGCAGCUGUAGAUCUGGUAUAUCCAUGGGAUGAGUACCUGCUAUGUACCAGGCAUCUUGCUAAUACUGAGCACAGAGGUACUGACACAUCACUGCUGUGUAACACACACAGCUAAGUGGUGUGACCACAUCUGACAGGUAACCCACAAUGGCAGGAGAGCCCAGAGGAAAGGUCCCUGCCUUUGGCCUGGGAAGGGAAAAGUAGACAGAGACGUCUUCUUGGAGCAGCUGAUGCUUGACCUGGACCCUGAAGGUAUUCGCUCAGCUUCAAUUUUCUAAUCUGGAAAAUGGAACUGCCUAUCUUGAAUGGCUCUUGGGAAAACAGAAAUAAUACAUUCUUAUACAAACCCUUUGGGAUCAUAAAGCACAAGCUUAUUACACUUUGAAAGGAUUUGAGGCAGUGGCGUGGUCUAGAGAUAGCUUUUUCAGUGAGGAUUACAAGGACAGCUCAUCAGGGAUUUUUCCCAUCUAUAAAGGCAAGGACACUGAAUAAUACAUAUCCCAAAGAAUACAGCAGGGUCAGAUGGGGCCAUGGAAGCAGGGAAGAUUCUAAGCUGGAGGCAGAACUGCUAUCAUGAACACAAGCAAGGAGAGUUGACUCCCGUAACAGAAGACACUGAAGUCGAUGACAUUCUGUGAGCCACAGAGUCAAACCCCCACGUGAAUCCAAGCAGAAAGAGAAAGAGAAACUCGACUUCAGUUGAGAUUACAAGUAUCAUCAUUCUUUUUACAACCUUUUCUUGCAAGGAGAAUACAUCUGUGUACAUGCCUUGGACUCACUGUUAAGCAUCAGUGAUGAAUGAACAUUGUUCAACUCUCUUUAAGCCAACAAUGCUGCUCAAAUAAAUAAUAAACAGAAUUCCGGACAGCAUGCUCAGCAGGGACAUGUGAAAAGCAGUCAGUCAUGAUGUGAAAAGCAGUCAGUCAUGUUACGAUUCUUCGCUACUGUUACCAUGCCCUCCUAAUCAUUUCACAUGAGGUUUGAAUAGCAAAAGCUUUGGAAUAUACACCCAACCCUCAUUUACCUCCUCAUCCUUAUCCAAGAGAUGUCUAUAUUCAGGCGGGAUAGUGUCAUCUCUUUCUCCCAGCUUGUCUCUAUGUUCAGCUUCAGCUUUUUCCUGCAAAUGUUGAACAUAUAUAAUUACUAUCCAUAUAUAAUUACUGCCUUCCCUUAGAGAGUACAUUCUAAAAUGCAGCAUUCAACAUUUAUUAUACUUUCCUGAGGCAAAACAAAGGGUCUUUUAUAAUUUUUUAAACAACAGAACAAUGAGGUCAACAGACUCUGAGUUGAUGAAAAAGCAUAAAGCCACUGCUUCUGUAAUGUCAAGCCACGUGGGGGCAUUUUCUACCUGUAUUUUAAAUGGAACUAAAUGAUUAAAUCAUUAUGCUCAGAAACCACAUAAGGAGAGAAAACCCAAGGUUAUAAAAUACCUUCCUUUUAAUGUUUCACUUUUAAAAAAAAGUCAAGUUGAGGUGUACCUUGGCAGUUAGAGAUAGUACUGACAAUUUGGACUCUAUAAGGAACCAGAAGCAUCAGGAUGAGGAGCCAACCUCAAGGGACGUGCUGACUGCUUAUGUUGCAGAUAAAACCAAGAGAAGUUAAAGUGGGAAGAGAAUAAAAUUAAGACAGCAGAGCCGUGCUCUUCCAUCAUCACAAAGUCUGGUCUCACAAACAGGAUGUCUGCCUGAAUCUGAAACAGACAUUAUGGGGACCAUGGAAUAGGAAAAAAAGGAGACUGAAGUUAUCCAACUGUUCACUGACUCCAGGCAGAGUCUGAGUGGUUUUUCCCCUUUGUGUGGAGAGUAGAGUAUUCCAUGCUUAUCAAAAAUUUUCACUUACUAAUGACUUUUUUUUUUUUUUUUUUACCUUGACU
Molecule: long non-coding RNA, 4270 nt
Organism: Phacochoerus africanus (Common warthog)
Lineage: Eukaryota; Metazoa; Chordata; Mammalia; Artiodactyla; Suidae
Exons: 6
Source: RefSeq, a predicted model, not a curated record